RNAcentral lists this ribosomal RNA (630 nucleotides) under uncultured Methylobacter sp. RNAcentral's name for it is "bacterial SSU rRNA". It matches the Rfam family "Bacterial small subunit ribosomal RNA", at positions 202 to 820 of the family's 1533-position model. The record is from RNAcentral. Lineage: Bacteria; Pseudomonadati; Pseudomonadota; Gammaproteobacteria; Methylococcales; Methylococcaceae.
AGGGGAUCUUCGGACCUUUCGCUAUGAGAUGAGCCUGCGUUAGAUUAGCUAGUUGGUAGGGUAAAGGCCUACCAAGGCGACGAUCUAUAGCUGGUCUGAGAGGACGAUCAGCCACACUGGGACUGAGACACGGCCCAGACUCCUACGGGAGGCAGCAGUGGGGAAUAUUGGACAAUGGGCGGAAGCCUGAUCCAGCAAUACCGCGUGUGUGAAGAAGGCCUUAGGGUUGUAAAGCACUUUCAAUUGGGAGGAAAACCUGCCGGCCAAUACCCGGUAGCUUGACAUUACCUUUAGAAGAAGCACCGGCUAACUCCGUGCCAGCAGCCGCGGUAAUACGGAGGGUGCGAGCGUUAAUCGGAAUUACUGGGCGUAAAGCGUGCGUAGGCGGUUCGUUAAGUCAGAUGUGAAAGCCCUGGGCUCAACCUGGGAACUGCAUUUGAAACUGGCGGACUAGAGUUUAGUAGAGGGGAGUGGAAUUUCAGGUGUAGCGGUGAAAUGCGUAGAUAUCUGAAGGAACACCAGUGGCGAAGGCGACUCCCUGGACUAGAACUGACGCUGAGGUACGAAAGCGUGGGUAGCAAACAGGAUUAAAUACCCUGGUAGUCCACGCCGUAAACGAUGUCGACUAGC